ACGACUACGCUAUCACUCCUACGGGAGGCAGCAGUGAGGAAUAUGGACAAUGGAGAACUCUGAUCCAGCCAUGCCGCGUGCAGGAUGACGGCCCUAUGGGUGUAAACUGCUUUAUACGGGAAUAAACCUCUCUACGUGUAGAGAGCUGAAGGUACCGUAAGAAUAAGGACCGGCUAACUCCGUGCCAGCAGCCGCGGUAAUACGGAGGGUCCAAGCGUUAUCCGGAUUAUUGGGUUUAAAGGGUCCGCAGGCGGGAUAUUAAGUCAGUGGUGAAAGCCUACAGCUUAACUGUAGCACUGCCAUUGAUACUGGUAUUCUUGAGUGUGGUUGAAGUGGGCGGAAUAUGUCAUGUAGCGGUGAAAUGCAUAGAUAUGACAUAGAACACCUAUUGCGAAGGCAGCUCACUAAGCCAUUACUGACACUCAGAUGCAGAAGCGUGGGGAGCAAACAGGAUUAGAUACCCUGGUAG
Molecule: ribosomal RNA, 469 nt
Filed under: uncultured bacterium
Lineage: Bacteria
Description: bacterial SSU rRNA
Rfam family: Bacterial small subunit ribosomal RNA
Source: RNAcentral